This is an RNA transcript of Daphnia pulicaria, 3078 nucleotides long. RefSeq lists it as uncharacterized. The record is from RefSeq and is a predicted model, not a curated record. The transcript has 11 exons. NCBI's taxonomy places the organism in Eukaryota, Metazoa, Arthropoda, Branchiopoda, Diplostraca, Daphniidae.
CGGUCGUGUCAAUAAAAUCGUAAAAUUCUAGCGAAUAUCGUACCAAGUGUAUCAGCACAUAUAUUUUAUCAUCUGAUGAGGUAAAUGAGACCUGUUUCAUUUGUAUGUGAACUUUAUUUCUAAAAUUAUAUUUGAAAAUUAUUGCAAAUUUAAAAACAAAUUCACCUAAAGAUUGAAGUUUUAACUGAAAAUGGUCAUGAUCCCAAUAAAAUGCUUUGUCACCAUCUUUCUGGCUGUGAUCUUUUGCUGUGAUUCCCAACAGUCAGACAACCCCGGCGGUUCUUCUUUUUGGGUGAAACUACAACAAAUUUCACCAGACACUUUAAGUUCUAUGGAGUAUGGCAAUUUUCUCAUUGAAAUUUAUGAACACGUCAAUAAUCACAAGCCAACGAUAACUGCCAGUGAGAAAAAAUAUUUCUACUCCCCCAUUGCGCUAUUGGACCACUCAAGUGCCGUUAGUACUUACAACAAGUUUACGAAACAGCCAGAGAUGAGCUUCCGCAUUGAAAUGUGGAACGACAAAGUCCAAAAUGAAGUUGUCAAACAUUUAAAUGAAAUCGUCGGCCAUGAAAUAAAAUCCAAUAAAGUGAGAGUCAUUCCCUUGGAGAAGGUCAUUCUUACUAGUAACAAACCCGCAACAGAUUAUUCGCUAUCGCCAGUAUGGACGAAUUACGACAAGAGUAAAACCCUUUGGUUUUCUCUGUCGUGUUUUGACCAGAAAGUCUGCGACGGACUGGCCAAUGAAAUGCGAUCCAAUCCCAAACAUUUAAACCAUUUCCAACUCCUGUACAGUUUGUCAUCGCAGACGUCGCAAACUAAACAGACGACCAUCCGCAUCGACAGCGUCACUUCCGGUCAAUUGAUCACUUCUCUUUUACAGAAAUUUGGAGACAAAAAAGAAAUUUUUUUGACGGCCAGCGACGAGAAGAAAAUGUUGACGGAAACGGCCACCAACAUUCGAAUGGACACAUUUGACGACUCCGAGGUCGGGUCGCCUGAUACGGAAUCGCAAAUUUUAAAUAUUUUAAAGGAUUUGCUGGUCACGUCCAGGAUGACCAUCAAAGAACAAAGGGAUAAAAUGUGGGACUCUGUUUUCUGGAAUGACGACAAUUACCGGCCGGACAAGACGACGAAAACUUUAAAUGAAAUCCUCAACAAAUUGGACACGGAAACUCAAACGAAAUUGGCGGACAUGUUUCAAAAAGCGGAGAAACAGUCGGAAAUAUUAGGAAAAUUAACUUCGAAUAGUAAAGAGACAAGACGAGAAGAUCAACAUCGCAAUAUUAAUUUUAAUGAGAAAUGGAAACUUGCAAAAAACUACUCGGAUGAAGAAAAUAAAAAUUUAGAGAAUAAAGAAAAAAUCCAACACAAUUACGACUUAAGCAGUUGGGAUGACGUGGACAGAAUCAGUUCAAUCAUUUCAGAGAAAAUGGCAAACGAAUCUGAUGGUUCCAGCCAAGUUGAAAUUACGAAAGAAGAUGUUAAAAUUUUAUUACAAGAAAGUAGAGACAACGUACAAUGGGACGGAGAAAAAUUCGUGCCCAAACCGAUGCAACUGAGCAAAAUCAAUUUGGGCCAAUUUCGCGACUCUCAAUCGUUUCAGGAUCGUAACAUCCGGGUUCGUUACACGACCGCCGAACUGUCGGCGCCGAUAAAAAUUAUGGAACACGCAGAAUUGACCGUCACUGACGAAUGGAACAAUUUAAAGGAGGAACUCAAAGCCACUACUGAACUCUUAACUACAACUGUGAACAACUUGGUGAAAACGAACACCGAACUGAAUAUGGUGAAGAGUGAUGUAACAAACACGCGAAUAGAUUCGACUAAUAAAUUAGAAGAGUUGGAGAAAACCAAAAACGACUUGGAGGAAACGAAGGCCAAUGUCAAUAAUCUAUCGAUAAAGUUAAAUGAGACCAAACAGGAGUUGGUGAAAACGAGAGCAGAUUUUCUCAUAACCGUCGAUGAUUUAUCUGCAAAAUUAAACGCCACCGAAAAAGAAUUGGCGAAAACGAAAAUCACGACCGGAAAUUUGUCAACUGAACUCAAAAAUUGUGUAGCGAAUUCGGAUCGAUUAGGUCAAGAAUUAAAAGUUACCGCCGAAAAUUUUAAAAAAGAUCUAAGAGCAACCUCAAAUGAUUUAAAAACUACAAAAACAAAUUUGGCCUCAACGAGAACCGAAUUGAACAGCACCAAAUCCGCCGUUGCGGAUUUGGUGAUCAAAUUAAAUGCCCGAACGAGUGAAUUGGUCGACAUUGGUCGAAUGCCAACUUCGUGUGCGGAUCUGCAGCGAAUGGGACACAAACUGAGCGGAUUCUUUUCUGUCAAAGGAACGAAGAAAAUGGAAUUGAUUUACUGCAAUUUCAAUGCCAAUCAAAAUGACAAACAGAAAUGGAUCGGAUACGCCGACGUCAAAUCAGCGCCCGUCCAUUUCCACGUCACGAGAAAUUCUAAUUUUAAAACAGAAGGAACUCCGGUUACAUUCGAGUUGGCGCUGGUGAACGAGGGAAAUGCCAUGAAUUUGACGUCGGGGAAAUUCACGGCACCAGCACCGGGAAUUUAUUUUUUCUCUUUCGCGGGAGUGGGGCAUCUUAAAUCUUCAUCUGAUGUUGAUUUUCAUUCUUUUCUUUAUUUGAACGGGAAUCUAAUCGGAUCGAGUAAUGUUAACGAGAGAAACGGCCCCGUUGAUCAAUAUAGUCCGUUGACCCUCCAGUCGACCGUGAACUUAAAAAAAGGCGAUCAAGUCUGGGUGAAGAUUGAAUUUUUUAGUUUCAUCCGUGAUUUAGGUUCAACCUCGUAUUUGUGGGACAGCAAUUACCACUACACCCAUUUCACGGGUUUCAUGUUGGAAGAGGAAAUUGGGGCGUCACUUUGAGGUUCAACUUCAUCGGCGACACACGAAACAUUUUCGACAUGAACAUUUUUGUUUCAUGUCGACACGCAAUUUUGGGGAAGGAAAUUUUAUGGGGGAAGGGGAAAUAAUUCAUUCGACUCUAAUUUAUUUAGGGGUAGGAAUUUAUGUACCAAAGUUAAACUGUGGAUGCAAUCACACUUACUGAAUACACACACCAAGUUUCAAAA